GUCGAUAGAGGCGCAUCAAACAUCAGUAACGGCACCCGAUAUGCUGCCAGGCAUGGGAACCGCGAAAGGGAAUGAUGCCGAAGGCGACCGCUGGCAACGGUUGGCCUGGUUGCAUGGGAAAUACGCAUGCAACUGUCGCAGGACUGCGAUGAGCUGGAACUGCGGAGAGCUAUCUGG
RNAcentral lists this non-coding RNA (177 nucleotides) under pig gut metagenome. RNAcentral describes it as "Lysine riboswitch". It matches the Rfam family "Lysine riboswitch aptamer". Rfam says of the family: Riboswitches are metabolite binding domains within certain messenger RNAs that serve as precision sensors for their corresponding targets. Allosteric rearrangement of mRNA structure is mediated by ligand binding, and this results in modulation of gene expression. The record is from RNAcentral.